Aedes albopictus (Asian tiger mosquito) is the source of this 58-nucleotide non-coding RNA. NCBI's taxonomy places the organism in Eukaryota, Metazoa, Arthropoda, Insecta, Diptera, Culicidae. The record is from Rfam.
UAGCCUAGUGGUUAAGGCUAUGGAUCGCCGAUCCGGGGACGGCGGGUUCGAUUCCCGU